GUAUUGCGUUAAGGAUAGCAAUGGCAUCCUUUUUUGAGGAACGAAAAAAAGAUAUAGUGGAUAGCCUGUUAAAAC
Molecule: small RNA, 75 nt
Filed under: Polaribacter sp. Hel1_33_78
Lineage: Bacteria; Pseudomonadati; Bacteroidota; Flavobacteriia; Flavobacteriales; Flavobacteriaceae
Also listed under: 1 other name
Description: Flavo-1 RNA
Rfam family: Flavo-1 RNA
Source: Rfam by way of RNAcentral